AGGUCCAUGUCCGAGAGGGAAAGAACCCAGACCAUCAGCUAAGGUCCCAAAAUAUGUGUUAAGUUGACAAAACGCGGUGAAACUGCAUAGACAGCCAGGAUGUUGGCUUGGAAGCAGCCAUUCAUUUAAAGAGUGCGUAACAGCUCACUGGUCGAGCGGUUUUGCAUGGAUAAUAAUCGGGCAUAAACACAAUACCGAAGCUAUGGACGAAAGUGGUAGGGGAGCAUUCUAUGGGCGUUGAAGGUGUAUCGUGAGGUAUGCUGGAGCGCAUAGAAAAGAAAAUGUAGGCAUAAGUAACGAUAAGCGGUGCGAGAAACACCGCCGCCGAAAGACUAAGGUUUCCCCAGCUAUGCUAAUCAGCUGGGGGUCAGUCAGGACCUAACGCGAACCCGAAAGGGGUAGUGGAUGGACAAACGGUUAAUAUUCCGUUACCUCCGUAUCAUUAAAAGUGACGGGGCCCUGGAGUUACUGCGCACUGACGGAAUAGUGCGUUGAAGCUUCGGCAAUAGUACACCAAGACUUCGGUCGCGGUGAUAAUGUAGCGAAGGGGCCUCCAAGAAAAGCGAGAUACGGAGCCUGUACCGUAAACCGACACAGGUAGUUGGGAUGAGUAUUCUAAGGCGCUCGAGAGAUUCAUGGCUAAGGAACUAGGCAAAAUUGACCUGUAACUUCGGGAGAAAGGUCGCCCCCUUUGGGGGGCCGCAGUGAAAAGGCCCAGGCGACUGUUUAUCAAAAACACAGGACUAUGCUAAGUCGAAAGACGAUGUAUAUGGUCUGACACCUGCCCGGUGCUGGAAGGUUAAAGGGAGUUGUUAGCUUCGGUGAAGCAACGAACUGAAGCCCCAGUAAACGGCGGCCGUAACUAUAACGGUCCUAAGGUAGCGAAAUUCCUUGUCGGGUAAGUUCCGACCUGCACGAAUGGUGCAACGAUCUGGACACUGUCUCAGCCAUGAGCUCGGUGAAAUUGUAGUAUCGGUGAAGAUGCCGAUUACCCGCUGUGGGACGAAAAGACCCCGUGCACCUUUACUAUAGCUUAGUAUUGGUUUUGGAUAAGUAAUGUGUAGGAUAGGUGGGAGACUUUGAAGCGGCGUCGCUAGGCGUUGUGGAGUCAUUGUUGAAAUACCACCCUUUGCUUAUCUAGAGUCUAACUUCUUGCGAAGGACAGUGCUUGGUGGGUAGUUUGACUGGGGUGGUCGCCUCCAAAAGAGUAACGGAGGCUUCUAAAGGUACCCUCAGCACGCUUGGUAACCGUGCGUAGAGUGCAAUGGCAUAAGGGUGCUUGACUGAGAGACCUACAAGUCGAUCAGGUACGAAAGUAGAGCAUAGUGAUCCGGUGGUUCCGCAUGGAAGGGCCAUCGCUCAAAGGAUAAAAGGU
RNAcentral lists this ribosomal RNA (1375 nucleotides) under marine metagenome. RNAcentral describes it as "bacterial LSU rRNA". It matches the Rfam family "Bacterial large subunit ribosomal RNA", at positions 1001 to 2464 of the family's 2925-position model. The record is from RNAcentral.